CAAGACACAAACCACUCCAUUUCAGAACGAACUUCACCCGAACCUGAAUUGUCCAAUUUCAUGGACCAUUCGAUAUCGCAUUGAGUCCAAAACUUGGGGAACAUCAUGGGAGGAGUCGUUUUGUGAGUUUUGAGUGGAAUCCAAAAUGUAAAACUAUGCAAAACACAAACCACUCCAUUUUAGAACGAACUUCGUACGAACCUGAAUUGUCCAAUUUUAGGGACCAAUCGAUAUGGGAUUGAGUCCAAAACUUGGGGAACAUCAUAAUAUGGUGGGAGUAGUCAUUUGGUGAGUUUUGAGUGAAAUCCAAUCUCUAAAACUAUGCAGUACACCAACCACUCCAUUUCAGAACGAACUUCGUACGAACCUAAAUUGUGCAAUUUCAUGGACCAAUUGAUAUCGGAUUGAGUCCAAAACUUUUGGAACAUCAUAAUAUGGUGGGAGGAGUCAUUUCGUGAGUUUUGAGUGAAAUCCAAUCUCUAAAACUUUGCAAUACAACAACCACUCCAUUUCAGAACUGUUGAAGGAAAAUUGUGAUCUUCCUAAUAUAAUUUCACCACCAAUAAUUAAAUAAUGGGGUUUUAUUAUUUUAGAUUCGACCCAUUCGAGACGCAAGUCUCUUAAUUACAAUCCCUUGCUUCAAGGGAAAACCCUUUGAUUCCAUCGUGAAGAAACAGAACGUGUGUGUUUGAUUUUGCAGCUGCUCUCAAGUCCAACCUCAGGAUGCCUACGUAUCCCUUGCGGGAAUCAAGCCACUCGUAGUUCAAAGAUUCAUGAUGAAUAAAUGACUCAUCGCAAAACGAAAAAUUUGAAUGAGUUUGAUUGAGGAGUGCUUGAGUGAAUUUAGCUGAAUAAACC
This 858-nucleotide long non-coding RNA is filed under the name Prunus persica (peach). RNAcentral describes it as "long non-coding RNA (PPER_LNC001020)". The record is from RNAcentral. Lineage: Eukaryota; Viridiplantae; Streptophyta; Magnoliopsida; Rosales; Rosaceae.